This 1193-nucleotide long non-coding RNA is filed under the name Olea europaea subsp. europaea. The record is from RNAcentral. Lineage: Eukaryota; Viridiplantae; Streptophyta; Magnoliopsida; Lamiales; Oleaceae.
GUCAAUUCAAAAUAAAAUUUUGGUCAAAAUUGAAUUUGUGGUCAAACUCUUUUGAAAUUCAAAUUUAAAUCAUUUUCAAAUUUUAUGUUGAAAACCCUUUUUGAAAUUGUAUUUUGAUCCCCCCAAUUUUUCUAGUUGCAAAUAGGCCCUUUUAAAAUUGUAAGAUAACCCCAUGAAUUAAAGUUGCGUGUAGAGGCCUGCAAUUUGACAAAUUACACAACAGGCCCCCCUCCAAUAUAUAUCACUUGGGCGAUGUCGACAACAACUCAAUGACCACCAACAGCAUCACAGGGAGCGCUAUCAUUAUAUGGCAAUUGUGCACUCUUUGCUCCUACAUAAAAGUUGGUGCUGCAAAAAGGCUCAUAGCGACGAUUGGCGCUAUUGUGAUUAGCGACUUAGAUUGCCUUGAGAUGCAAAGCCAAGUCGCUAAUGUUGACUAUGAUUGCUGCCGCUAGCACUUUCGUUGACCACUUAUUAAAAUCAAUUUUCUUAAAAGCUAGACAAAGAAAUUAUCAAUAAUCAACUAUUGAUUGUUUCCAGAUUCAAAAAUAAUUUUCAACUAGUACAAAUUCGGCUCCAAUAUCAUUGUUAGGAAUUUAUUUAUACAUGCAUGGUAAAAUUUAAAAAUAAUCUCAAUUCCCUUCGAUGAUCAUUUUUGUGUUUAGAUAGAAAUCAUGAUUAGAAUUAUGCAUUUAGUAAAUUCUUCAAAUUCCUUCAAGAAUCUUGGAUCAUGAACAAUUACAAUCUUUGCAUGCCUUUGUGAAUUGAUCUUUCCACACAAUACUCGUUCAAUUGUUCAACCUUCAAUGGUAAUCUAUGUUUGAGAACAAUAAUAAGAGAUUAGUUUUUUUGUUUGUUUUUUGUUUUUGCGCUAGCAAGGUUGUGAUAUUGUGAAAUGUAUUAGUUAUAAUAGCAAUCUCAAUUGUUAUUGUACCAACUUAUGAAAAAUUGAACUCUAAUUGUUUAUUUAUAGAUGUUUAAUUGAAUAAAUAUAAGCCAGUCCAAUAUUAAAUUAAUCCAAUUAAUUAAACGUAGCAUAUAAGUUAAUUAAUACAAUCAAUUAACUUAAGCCCAUAAAUAAACAAUCUAAUUAAUUAAUUCAUAAUAUCAUUCUUCUAAUUCUCCUUUUGUGUGUGAUCCAUUACAUUCUCUAUCACGAUGUUGAACGAUUGAAUUACUAUUUUGAUCUAAUC